UUAUAACCGGCGAUUUCCGAAUGGGGAAACCCAGUGUGAUUCGUCACACUAUCAUUAACUGAAUCCAUAGGUUAAUGAGGCGAACCGGGGGAACUGAAACAUCUAAGUACCCCGAGGAAAAGAAAUCAACCGAGAUUCCCCCAGUAGCGGCGAGCGAACGGGGAGGAGCCCAGAGCCUGAAUCAGUGUGUGUGUUAGUGGAAGCGUCUGGAAAGGCGCGCGAUACAGGGUGACAGCCCCGUACACAAAAAUGCACAUGCUGUGAGCUCGAUGAGUAGGGCGGGACACGUGGUAUCCUGUCUGAAUAUGGGGGGACCAUCCUCCAAGGCUAAAUACUCCUGACUGACCGAUAGUGAACCAGUACCGUGAGGGAAAGGCGAAAAGAACCCCGGCGAGGGGAGUGAAAAAGAACCUGAAACCGUGUACGUACAAGCAGUGGGAGCACGCUUAGGCGUGUGACUGCGUACCUUUUGUAUAAUGGGUCAGCGACUUAUAUUCUGUAGCAAGGUUAACCGAAUAGGGGAGCCGAAGGGAAACCGAGUCUUAACUGGGCGUUAAGUUGCAGGGUAUAGACCCGAAACCCGGUGAUCUAGCCAUGGGCAGGUUGAAGGUUGGGUAACACUAACUGGAGGACCGAACCGACUAAUGUUGAAAAAUUAGCGGAUGACUUGUGGCUGGGGGUGAAAGGCCAAUCAAACCGGGAGAUAGCUGGUUCUCCCCGAAAGCUAUUUAGGUAGCGCCUCGUGAAUUCAUCUCCGGGGGUAGAGCACUGUUUCGGCAAGGGGGUCAUCCCGACUUACCAACCCGAUGCAAACUGCGAAUACCGGAGAAUGUUAUCACGGGAGACACACGGCGGGUGCUAACGUCCGUCGUGAAGAGGGAAACAACCCAGACCGCCAGCUAAGGUCCCAAAGUCAUGGUUAAGUGGGAAACGAUGUGGGAAGGCCCAGACAGCCAGGAUGUUGGCUUAGAAGCAGCCAUCAUUUAAAGAAAGCGUAAUAGCUCACUGGUCGAGUCGGCCUGCGCGGAAGAUGUAACGGGGCUAAACCAUGCACCGAAGCUGCGGCAGCGACACUAUGUGUUGUUGGGUAGGGGAGCGUUCUGUAAGCCUGUGAAGGUGUGCUGUGAGGCAUGCUGGAGGUAUCAGAAGUGCGAAUGCUGACAUAAGUAACGAUAAAGCGGGUGAAAAGCCCGCUCGCCGGAAGACCAAGGGUUCCUGUCCAACGUUAAUCGGGGCAGGGUGAGUCGACCCCUAAGGCGAGGCCGAAAGGCGUAGUCGAUGGGAAACAGGUUAAUAUUCCUGUACUUGGUGUUACUGCGAAGGGGGGACGGAGAAGGCUAUGUUGGCCGGGCGACGGUUGUCCCGGUUUAAGCGUGUAGGCUGGUUUUCCAGGCAAAUCCGGAAAAUCAAGGCUGAGGCGUGAUGACGAGGCACUACGGUGCUGAAGCAACAAAUGCCCUGCUUCCAGGAAAAGCCUCUAAGCAUCAGGUAACAUCAAAUCGUACCCCAAACCGACACAGGUGGUCAGGUAGAGAAUACCAAGGCGCUUGAGAGAACUCGGGUGAAGGAACUAGGCAAAAUGGUGCCGUAACUUCGGGAGAAGG
RNAcentral lists this ribosomal RNA (1604 nucleotides) under Escherichia coli. RNAcentral's name for it is "partial 23S ribosomal RNA". It matches the Rfam family "Bacterial large subunit ribosomal RNA", at positions 98 to 1746 of the family's 2925-position model. The record is from RNAcentral. Lineage: Bacteria; Pseudomonadati; Pseudomonadota; Gammaproteobacteria; Enterobacterales; Enterobacteriaceae.